Molecule: ribosomal RNA, 400 nt
Filed under: uncultured bacterium
Lineage: Bacteria
Description: bacterial SSU rRNA
Rfam family: Bacterial small subunit ribosomal RNA
Source: RNAcentral
CCACCUUUGACAUGGCAGGAAGUUUCCAGAGAUGGAUUCGUGCUCGAAAGAGAACCUGCACACAGGUGCUGCAUGGCUGUCGUCAGCUCGUGUCGUGAGAUGUUGGGUUAAGUCCCGCAACGAGCGCAACCCUUGUCAUUAGUUGCUACAUUCAGUUGAGCACUCUAAUGAGACUGCCGGUGACAAACCGGAGGAAGGUGGGGAUGACGUCAAGUCCUCAUGGCCCUUAUAGGUGGGGCUACACACGUCAUACAAUGGCUGGUACAGAGGGUUGCCAACCCGCGAGGGGGAGCUAAUCCCAUAAAACCAGUCGUAGUCCGGAUCGCAGUCUGCAACUCGACUGCGUGAAGUCGGAAUCGCUAGUAAUCGCGGAUCAGCAUGCCGCGGUGAAUACGUUCCC